GAAAUGCGAUAAGUAGUGUGAAUUGCAGAAUUCAGUGAAUCAUCGAAUCUUUGAACGCACAUUGCGCCCUUUGGUAUUCCUUAGGGCAUGCCUGUUCGAGCGUCAUCUAAACCUUCAAGCCCUGCUUGGUGUUGGGUGCCUGUCCCGCCUCCGCGCGCGGACUCACCUCAAAUCCAUUGGCGGCCCCCGCGUCGGCCACGAGCGCAGCAGAAACGCGAACUCGUGAGCCCGUCCGGGCGGCUCCCAGAAGCUACACCCACCCAGUUUGACCUCGGAUCAGGUAGGGAUACCCGCUGACCUUAAGC
RNAcentral lists this unclassified non-coding RNA (305 nucleotides) under plant metagenome. RNAcentral's name for it is "partial contains 5.8S ribosomal RNA, internal transcribed spacer 2, and large subunit ribosomal RNA". The stretch from base 1 to 105 matches the Rfam family "5.8S ribosomal RNA", at positions 50 to 154 of the family's 154-position model. The record is from RNAcentral.